AUAAAUGGGAUGGAUGUUCCUCUUGUCGGCGGUCUGUGCUUCCCUCACGCGGAGGCUGCGGAGGAGCCAGCAAAGUUCUGCUUAAAGUUUGCUCGCUGAUUCUGGAAUCUCACUCGUUCUUUACUUACGUCGUUCGUUAUUCGCGUUCAUCGGUCGUUUUCGGAAACCGCGCCCCUGGUUUGCUGCGGUCCUCGAUCUGCUUACCAGCCCAUCUGUGAAGAUGAAGCUCACCUGCAUCGUCCUUCUUCUUGGAGCUCUGGUCUCCCUGAGCUUCUCUCAGAAGAACGACAACAAUCUACCACCUGUAUGCUGCAUAAAAUACUAUGAAGGCAGAAUUCCAGCAUCAGCAGUGACAUCCUGUGAAGUAACAGAUACCAGAUGCCCCAUGAUGGCUGUAGUCAUAACCACAAGAAAAGGACUCAGGAUAUGCAUUAACCCAGAGAAGCGAGAAAAAAUUAUGAAGAAAUGUUUAUCACUGGAAGAUGAGAAGAUUGCUUAAAUGAAACACACACAUGUACAGUAAUAUAAAUGGUUCUAUAUGCUGUCAUUUGUUUGUCAUUUACUAAUUAGAAAAAAAUAGAUAAAAUAGAUAAUAAAAAGUAUUAUGGGAUAAAAAUAUAUAUGCAGAUAAAGUUAUUUUAUAUUUGUUUUUGUAAAGUGAAUAUUAAUGGUUAUAAAUCGGGAACCUUAAUCUCAUAUACAGAACUUAUCAUUCGGGGUGUUUUUCUGCAUACAAAUCUGUGAAUAUUACAUCACUGGAGACUUCCCUAAAGAUAUGAACCAGCAGGAAGAAGCUGAUCUUGGAUUUUAUACUGAUUUAUAAAUGUUUCAGUGGCCUGAUGAUGUCUGCCAUGAUAUUUACACAUUAAACCACCUGAUGUAAAUAAAGAUGCAGUGCAUAA
Long non-coding RNA from Brienomyrus brachyistius, 902 nucleotides. RefSeq lists it as uncharacterized. The record is from RefSeq and is a predicted model, not a curated record. The transcript is spliced from 4 exons. NCBI's taxonomy places the organism in Eukaryota, Metazoa, Chordata, Actinopteri, Osteoglossiformes, Mormyridae.